Molecule: long non-coding RNA, 317 nt
Organism: Ostrea edulis (European flat oyster)
Lineage: Eukaryota; Metazoa; Mollusca; Bivalvia; Ostreida; Ostreidae
Exons: 3
Source: RefSeq, a predicted model, not a curated record
UACCACAGCGCGUGUUGUCCGCAGAUAAGGUGCAGUGUUAGUACCAGAGAGUCAGGAGGCAGAUAAACCCUGUGAUAAGUUGUACGAUGACUGCAUAAAACGGUCUGUGGAUGUGACCUAUUUAACACCACCCACCAACGCCGAUGGAAGUUUGCAUUUCCCGGACGACUUUUUCAAUAGAGUCUGUGGAUAUUUCACCAACGCCAGUGUUUGUUAUAAACUAACGACGCCUGAAGAUUGCGAGCCGGAUUUUCCACCCAACAACAUGAUAAAGAAAAUGAACAUUAUAUCCAUCAAAUUGUGCCGAAAUACAGACG